Molecule: ribosomal RNA, 505 nt
Filed under: uncultured bacterium
Lineage: Bacteria
Description: bacterial SSU rRNA
Rfam family: Bacterial small subunit ribosomal RNA
Source: RNAcentral
AUUGAACGCUGGCGGCAUGCUUUACACAUGCAAGUCGAGCGGUAACAGGGAGCUUGCUCCGCUGACGAGUGGCGAACGGGUGAGUAAUGCAUCGGAACGUACCCAGUCGUGGGGGAUAACGUAGCGAAAGUUACGCUAAUACCGCAUACGUCCUGAGGGAGAAAGCGGGGGACCGUAAGGCCUCGCGCGAUUGGAGCGGCCGAUGUCGGAUUAGCUAGUUGGUGGGGUAAAGGCCUACCAAGGCGACGAUCCGUAGCGGGUCUGAGAGGAUGAUCCGCCACACUGGGACUGAGACACGGUCCAGACUCCUACGGGAGGCAGCAGUGGGGAAUCUUGCGCAAUGGACGAAAGUCUGACGCAGCCACGCCGCGUGAGUGAAGAAGGCCUCGGUUGUAAGACUCUGUCACCUGGACGAAACGACUAAGUUAAUAGCCUUAGGAAUUAGACGGUACCAGGGAGGGAAGCGACCGGCGUAACUUCGUGCCAGCAGCCGCGGUAAGUCAUA